AGAACGAAAACUGGUCUCUAUUCCGGCGCGCGGAUAAUGUGUCUGCUAAUUUUCAUAAUUUCACCUGUUCUACAGCUAGAUGACUGUCGCGCUAGACCAGUACCGUUUGCGGCAGAUAGUCGUGUAAUACCGGCUUUACAGUAUAGCUUGCUACCUGAGUUUAUGCGGACUUUGCAAAUGUAAGCAUUGAUGGUGUUUUUCUUCAACACUGCUUUUAACAUCGUUUGGACUGUAUCUAUGUAUGCAGAGAAACGGGCUGGUGAUCAGACGCAGUACUGAGGUAUGAAAAGGGGACAGAACUGGAUAUGGUACUGAGAGAGAACCUGAUGUUGAGACAAAGGCGGAUGCUGUACCCCAGUGAUGAGCCCUUAUGUGAUCCAGGUGUAAGUGUUUGUGAUCGGUACCCAUUUACUUCAUCUGUGAAAGUAGUUGGAAACCCCCAAUUUGUUGUAAGAACAAUGUUAAAUUUAGAGAUGACCGCCACAUCGCUGUGUAAGGCGUAGGAAAGGACACCAUUCGUAGUGCCAGAGUUAUAUUUCAGUGAACUUUUAGAUGCUACUUAAGCAACGAAAUAAAUUAUUGUUUUUGGUUAAAUAUUAUGUGUAAAAUGUAAAAGUUUGAUUAGAAAAGAGGUUGUUGUUUCAAGAAGUUAUGUAAAUUUUCCCUUUUAUGAAUGUUUCGUAGAUUUAAAUUGAGAUGAAAUGUUGUACCAUUGGAGUGUGGGAGAAAAGAGUUUAAAAUUUUUUGUAUAAGAAUUUACUGUAUGCCAUCAAGCCCUAGCCAUUGUUUAGUUGAUGUAACUGUAUAUAAUGUUGUAACAUAAUCUUAGAUAUUUUGUUUAUUUGCGACACUUCAGUUCAACCUAGAUUUUAGUAAGAACAUUUUAGAUUUGACAGUGUCGGCGUAGCUAUCGAAAUCAUUCUUAAAUAGCAUUUAUGGCAGUAAGAACCGUAAAAUAUACUCAAGAGAAAUUUUGGGUUCUUAAGGGGUGUGUAACAUCACAAGUCGAUAUGCAAUAGCAUUUUAUUGCAAUAAGCUACUUUGCAGUCCGGUUCGUAGAUUUGGAGCCUUUGGUGGUGACAGAAACAGCCACUUGUACAGCGCUGUGUGCGCCGCCUUCUAGACGGGUGACCUUGAACGGGACUUAGCCACAGCACGAGGCGCCUGGCCGGAUCGCACCUGUCACUAGCCUAGCUGUGGGAAGCGGUACCUGUGUAAAUUCGAGUGACCGAAUAUUGAAGCCCCUAAGAAUCUAAAUAAACUAUAUUACAUAUUAUUUAAGUUAGUUAAAAUUGAAUAUACUGCCUUCUGUUAUUAAAAAGAAGAUUGUGUAAAAAUCUCAGCUUUCUAGCUGGCAUACUUUGAGUUAGAGAAUUACCUAAAACACCCCAUACUGACACUUGUAAGAUUAAAGUCAGUUAGGAUUCAUAACAGUUUGUCUUUUAGUAUCAUUUGGAAUCAUUACUGAAGUCCACGAAGUGUUUGGUCAGUUAGUUUGAACUUUCAUAAUUAAAAAUGUUAACUAUUUUUCAUUUUCGUAAUAUAAAAGUCAGAAAAGAUCAGCAUUUAAUGUGUUGUUGUGUGAGUAAAUGAGAAGGAGUGUGUGUGUAUGUGGGACAUAUGAAAAAAUUCAGUAUUAUGUCAUGUUAAACAUUACGUAACUAUGUCGUGGGAAAGUGUUAAGCAAGCAAGUUGCAAUGAAAAAUGUAAUUUCCCCACCGUGCUGAUGACGUAUGUCAAAGAGUAUAUUUCAUACCUGUUUAUGGAAUAGUUGGCGAGCAAUUUCUUUAUUAGAAAUCCACUGAAAAAGGACCAAAUGUGAAACUUUUAUAUUGUCGCAGAGUAAUGACUGUAAAUCGCAUAACAACUCAGGUCGGACUUGAGCACAUUCCUGGCUGCCUUGUGUGUGUAUUUGGGUUGUAUGAACUGUGAGCUGAGGACAGUGAUAUUAUUCAUUAAUUAAAUAUGGGCUGUUGGCAAGUGUUUAAUUUUGAACAUAAAGAAAUAAAAGCGCUCGUUGCAGAA
Long non-coding RNA from Schistocerca serialis cubense, 2025 nucleotides. RefSeq lists it as uncharacterized. The transcript has 2 exons. Lineage: Eukaryota; Metazoa; Arthropoda; Insecta; Orthoptera; Acrididae. The record is from RefSeq and is a predicted model, not a curated record.